GACCACUGGCACUACAUGGACUUUUCCUUGGGUCAGAGUAAUUGCUCUCGCUCCGAGCAGCUAAGCAGACCCCAUGAAUUAAAAAGCAGCUGAGGAGACCUUCCCCUCCAUCACGGCUGUCACAAACGCUUCUUGUCGUCAGGCAUUGUGUGGCUCCCCAGAGCUUGUUGCUAGGCAACCCACCUCAAUUAAUAUGCGAGGCAGAAAGAGCAGGGAAUGCCUGGGCUCCUAGAGCGGGACAGCGGCGUGGUAUGACUAACUAACGGAAUGGGUUCAUUCAAUGUGGCAUCCGGGAGACAUUUAGCACUUCGCUCCUAAACUAAUGCCGCUGCUCGCAGACGGAAAAGUGUACCAGUGGAGGAAAUAAUGCUUCAAGUUCUCCAGCCAACAAUACCACAGAUUUUCUCUGUGUGCUGAUUUCUGUAUUUCUUUGUAUUGUUUAUUUAUUUAUCUAUCUAUCUAUUUAUCUAUCUAUCGAAGAAGCUUGUUACUCCCUUAGAGAACACGUUAUCUCCAGGUGCUCCACACAAAGCUGCAGAAUUGACGUCGGGAUCUAAGGAAACAGCAGCUUCUGUGCUGAUGAGCUUUGACAGGCUGGCCAGCUCUUGAUCGUCAGUGAAGGCGCAAUAGUUAGUAAACAGCAACCUCAAGCUGGCUUCCCAAAAGAGCGUUGCUCUCCUCUGCUCGAAGCACCUGAAGCAGUCCAAGCCGACAUGCGAGGGGCUACACGCGCACUGAGAGUGAAGUGUUCUUCCGAGAGGUCGAAGCUGCUACUUCCAAGUUGAAACUCUCCCCAAAACAGAGAGAGGGAUAAAAACUGGCAAACAGGAAGAAAAGAAGCAAAGCAAAGAGAAUGAACGCUGCCAGCUUCGUGGUUGUUUCUGUGAGACUUGGACGUGGUAUGGAUUCGGCCCCGCUUGGAGUCCGUGCUCUGCCUCUGCUGUAGUCCCGAUGAUCGACGCGGUUAGACUGAAGGGGAAGCUGCAGAAAAACUCUCUGUGAAAAUGAUAAACACUGCUGCUGUUGAUGAAGAACGAUGCAACCAAGAAAAGGAGAGCAAAGAGGAAUCAAUACUGGCGAUGCUCGGGAUUAUUGGAACCAUCCUGAACUUAAUUGUUAUCAUUUUUGUGUAUAUAUACACCACAUUAUGAGCCAACAGAAUGAUCUGCCUGGGUCAGCACACCAGCAGGUGGACCGCUUUGGUGAAAAUGCCUAAAUGAAUACUUUUGCAGUUAUUGACAAUUUUCCUUAUUAAGAUGAAGCCAGAUGCAAAUGACGGCAACAAACGCCCUAAUGGAUUUUACAAGGGUUUUCCAUUUCUGCGAAGAAAAAAAUGUACAUUACAUGGAGCACAAAUAAAGCAGAUGAAGGAUCAGUUCAGUAUUCUUUGCCAGCAAACAUGCAUGAAUUACAAAACAUGUCUCAUUUGUAAUGAAAAUGACUACAUGGUUAAACCGUCUUGUCAGUUAUCAAUUUCCUGUGUAGACUAUUACAUCAUGGUAUGUAUGGAAAUAUGUCAAAAGCAUCAGUAGAAAAUGUUAUGAGGAUGAAGGGGAAGGAAGAAGGAAUGGCAGCAGGCCUUGGUGUGCAAAACACUGAUGAACCGACACAGUGAAAGAAUGACCUAGCAACAGUUUAGUCAGUCGGACAUUUGCUCCUUUUUAAUAACUGUGUGAAUAUAUUGUAAGAUAUUUUGUUUAUACUAAAAUGAUUUUGAUAUGUCAAAUAAAUCAAUACAAAACAAAUGAAAAGAACAGUAACUGAGCCCCUGAACAAACACCCCGAUUUCUAUAUCUGACUGAAUGUUUUCCAAAAGGCGUGAUGUAAAUAAGACUUUCAUACUGAAGCAGCCUCGUGGCUGGAUGUAUUUGCAGGAUUUAUUACCAAGUGGACUCAGUUCCAUAACUGCCUUAAAACCAAACUGUUCAGAGUGGUGAGAUGUAAACCAGUGAGAACAAAAUUAUACAAAAUAAAUUAACAUUUUUAAUUAAA
Molecule: long non-coding RNA, 1992 nt
Organism: Polypterus senegalus (gray bichir)
Lineage: Eukaryota; Metazoa; Chordata; Cladistia; Polypteriformes; Polypteridae
Exons: 3
Source: RefSeq, a predicted model, not a curated record